Molecule: ribosomal RNA, 932 nt
Filed under: uncultured bacterium
Lineage: Bacteria
Description: bacterial SSU rRNA
Rfam family: Bacterial small subunit ribosomal RNA
Source: RNAcentral
AGAGUUUGAUCCUGGCUCGGACGAACGCUGGCGGCGUGCUUAACACAUGCAAGUCGAACGGUAAGGCCCCUUCGGGGGUACACGAGUGGCGAACGGGUGAGUAACACGUGAGCAACCUGCCCUUGACACUGGAAUAACAGUUGGAAACAGCUGCUAAUGCCAGAUAUGACCUUCGGUGGCAUCACCCGAAGGUGGAAAGUGCUUAGCGGUCAAGGAUGGGCUCGCGGCCUAUCAGCUUGUUGGUGAGGUAACGGCUCACCAAGGUAACGAUCCGUAGCCGGCCUGAGAGGGCGGUCGGCCACACUGACACUGACAUACGGGUCAGACUCCUACGGGAGGCAGCAGUCGGGAAUUUUGGGCAAUGGGCGAAAGCCUGACCCAGCAACGCCGCGUGAAGGAUGAAAUCCCUCGGGAUGUAAACUUCGCAAGAAUGGGAAGAAUGAACGAGCGCUAAUACCGUUCGUGAUGACGGUACCAUUUGUAAGCUCCGGCUAACUCCGUGCCAGCAGCCGCGGUAAUACGGGGGGAGCAAGCGUUGUUCGGAUUUACUGGGCGUAAAGGGCGCGUAGGCGGCCAGCGCAAGUCAGUUGUGAAAUCUCCGGGCUUAACUCGGAAAGGUCAACUGAUACUGCGCGGCUAGAGUGCGGAAGGGGCAACUGGAAUUCUCGGUGUAGCGGUGAAAUGCGUAGAUAUCGAGAGGAACACCUGCGGCGAAGGCGGGUUGCUGGGCCGACACUGACGCUGAGGCGCGAAAGCUAGGGGAGCGAACGGGAUUAGAUACCCCGGUAGUCCUAGCCUUAAACGAUGAAUGCUUGGUGUCUGGGGUUAUAUAGUCCCCGGGUGCCGUCGCUAACGCUUUAAGCAUUCCGCCUGGGGAGUACGGUCGCAAGACUGAAACUCAAAGGAAUGACGGAAGGCGAAUCGUACCCGUU